This 221-nucleotide long non-coding RNA is filed under the name Mytilus galloprovincialis (Mediterranean mussel). The record is from RNAcentral. Lineage: Eukaryota; Metazoa; Mollusca; Bivalvia; Mytilida; Mytilidae.
GGACUAUAUGUUUAUAAUUUUAAUUCCAUUGUUAUAUGACUGUCAAGACAUGUAACAUGACAUAUGAUUUUCUAUUUUGUCUUCCUUCCACACACAUCAAAUCAAGAAUAAAUAAAAUGAAAUUUUGCCCAAUGUUAUACUGUUAUUCACAUCAAGUUGAAAAAUUGACAAUAUUUUUAUACAAAAUUCCAUUCACUGUCAUCAUAACAUUGAAAUUGUUU